GCCAUUCAGGUCCAUGCCACCGCAACAAACCUAUAAUGGACUCCAGAACCAACUUCCAUGUCGUCGCGUUCCUCCCGAUCCUCCAUCCUCAUUCGCAAGCAUCACACAAACGUGAAUCUCUUUCGCUUUACCUUUCAUUCUACGCUCUGUUCGCUCUCGUUCUCAAAAUUCAAUCGAAGAAUCAAGGUGGCGUUGAAUCUGGCUCGCGCUGAAUCCUUCAAAGUAGACUUGUUUGUACGCACGAAAGAUGAAUCAAUAAUUGAAGCAAGGAAGUAGAAGAAUUUACCGGAUUCGAAUCUUGACGCCGCGACGCAACAGUUCGUGAUGAUGCUGUUGUAAUCGAAUCCUCUUCGCCUCAGCUCCGUGGCUCCCUUGUCGUACGUGUAGGUUGAGAAUUGCAAGGUUUGUAGGGAAAAUCCAGACGCGAAAUGGAGAACACUCAGAUUCAAGCGUC
This 454-nucleotide long non-coding RNA is filed under the name Lathyrus oleraceus (garden pea). RNAcentral describes it as "Pisum sativum (pea) long non-coding RNA (PSAT_LNC015893)". The record is from RNAcentral. Lineage: Eukaryota; Viridiplantae; Streptophyta; Magnoliopsida; Fabales; Fabaceae.